Molecule: ribosomal RNA, 114 nt
Filed under: Mesocricetus auratus (golden hamster)
Lineage: Eukaryota; Metazoa; Chordata; Mammalia; Rodentia; Cricetidae
Source: RNAcentral
GGCUACAGCCAUACCACCCUGAACACACAUGGUCUAAGCAGCUAAGAAGGGUCAGACCAGAUUAGUACUUUGGUGGGAGAAUUUUUUUUUUGAGACAGGAUUUCUCUGUAGUUU